GCCUACGGGGGCAGCAGUGGGGGAUACUGCACAAUGGGGGAAACCCUGAUGCAGCGACGCCGCGUGGGCGAAGAAGUAUUUCGGUAUGUAAAGCCCUAUCAGCAGGGAAGAAGAAAUGACGGUACCUGAGUAAGAAGCACCGGCUAAAUACGUGCCAGCAGCCGCGGUAAUACGUAUGGUGCAAGCGUUAUCCGGAUUUACUGGGUGUAAAGGGAGCGCAGGCGGCACGGCAAGCCUGAUGUUAAAGCCCGCGGCCCACCCGCGGGAUGGCAUGGGGAACUACCGGGCUGGAGUGCCG
Molecule: ribosomal RNA, 298 nt
Filed under: uncultured bacterium
Lineage: Bacteria
Description: partial 16S ribosomal RNA
Rfam family: Bacterial small subunit ribosomal RNA
Source: RNAcentral